Molecule: ribosomal RNA, 255 nt
Filed under: uncultured bacterium
Lineage: Bacteria
Description: partial 16S ribosomal RNA
Rfam family: Bacterial small subunit ribosomal RNA
Source: RNAcentral
UACGGAGGGUGCGAGCGUUGUCCGGAAUCACUGGGCGUAAAGGGCGCGUAGGCGGCCUGAUAAGUAGGGGGGUGAAAUCCUGCGGCUUAACCGCAGGGCUGCCUUCUAAACUGUCAGGCUGGAGCACAGUAGAGGCAGGUGGAAUUCCUGGUGUAGCGGUGAAAUGCGCAGAUAUCAGGAGGAACACCGGUGGCGAAGGCGGGUCUCUGGGCCGUAACUGACGCUGAGGAGCGAAAGCGUGGGGGAGCGAACAGG